RNAcentral lists this long non-coding RNA (333 nucleotides) under Hordeum vulgare. RNAcentral's name for it is "long non-coding RNA (HVUL_LNC018092)". Lineage: Eukaryota; Viridiplantae; Streptophyta; Magnoliopsida; Poales; Poaceae. The record is from RNAcentral.
AUAGCCAGUGAGAAAUCUCUGCAGAGCAGCGAGGUUGAUAUGAAACCAGUGGAAACCAGUACAGUGGUCACUGUUCUACAGCAGCCCAAUGAGGAACCUCCACAAACUGAUGCAGCUGUGCUACAGCAGCCCAGUGAGGAACUUCCACAAACUAAUGCAGCUGUGCUACAGCAGCCCAGUGAGGAACCUCCACAACCUAGUGCAGAUGAUGUGAAGCCUACAGAGGACACUGCAGUAGUAGUGAAAAAGCCAUGGCAAUUCAACUCGAGAACCGAGAAGCAACCCCAGACUAGUGUAGUCGAUGCAAAGAAAACAGAAAGUACUGGAGCAAUC